This 258-nucleotide ribosomal RNA is filed under the name uncultured Enterococcaceae bacterium. RNAcentral's name for it is "partial 16S ribosomal RNA". It matches the Rfam family "Bacterial small subunit ribosomal RNA", at positions 524 to 781 of the family's 1533-position model. The record is from RNAcentral. Lineage: Bacteria; Bacillati; Bacillota; Bacilli; Lactobacillales; Enterococcaceae.
UACGUAGGUGGCAAGCGUUGUCCGGAUUUAUUGGGCGUAAAGCGAGCGCAGGCGGUUUCUUAAGUCUGAUGUGAAAGCCCCCGGCUCAACCGGGGAGGGUCAUUGGAAACUGGGAGACUUGAGUGCAGAAGAGGAGAGUGGAAUUCCAUGUGUAGCGGUGAAAUGCGUAGAUAUAUGGAGGAACACCAGUGGCGAAGGCGGCUCUCUGAUCUGUAACUGACGCUGAGGCUCGAAAGCGUGGGGAGCAAACAGGAUUAG